AAUGAACGCUGGCGGCAGGCCUAACACAUGCAAGUCGAACGGAUCCUUCGGGAUUAGUGGCGGACGGGUGAGUAACGCGUGGGAACAUACCCUUUGGUACGGAAUAGCCUCGGGAAGCUGGGAGUAAUACCGUAUGUGGUCGAGAGACGAAAGAUUUAUCGCCAAAGGAUUGGCCCGCGUUGGAUUGGGUAGUUGGUGGGGUAAUGGCCUACCAAGCCGACGAUCCAUAGCUGGUUUGAGAGGAUGAUCAGCCACACUGGGACUGAGACACGGCCCAGACUCCUACGGGAGGCAGCAGUGGGGAAUUUUAGACAAUGGGGGAAACCCUGAUCUAGCCAUGCCGCGUGAUCGAUGAAGGCCUUAGGGUUGUAAAGAUCUUUCAGGUGGGAAGAUAAUGACUGUACCACCAGAAGAAGCCCCGGCUAACUCCGUGCCAGCAGCCGCGGUAA
Molecule: ribosomal RNA, 449 nt
Filed under: uncultured bacterium
Lineage: Bacteria
Description: partial 16S ribosomal RNA
Rfam family: Bacterial small subunit ribosomal RNA
Source: RNAcentral